RNAcentral lists this ribosomal RNA (279 nucleotides) under uncultured Staphylococcus sp. RNAcentral's name for it is "partial 16S ribosomal RNA". It matches the Rfam family "Bacterial small subunit ribosomal RNA", at positions 82 to 354 of the family's 1533-position model. Lineage: Bacteria; Bacillati; Bacillota; Bacilli; Caryophanales; Staphylococcaceae. The record is from RNAcentral.
CUCCUUGACGUUAGCGGCGGACGGGUGAGUAACACGUGGGUAACCUACCUAUAAGACUGGGAUAACUUCGGGAAACCGGAGCUAAUACCGGAUAAUAUUCGAACCGCAUGGUUCGAUAGUGAAAGGUGGUUUUGCUAUAACUUAUAGAUGGACCCGCGCCGUAUUAGCUAGUUGGUAAGGUAACGGCUUACCAAGGCGACGAUACGUAGCCGACCUGAGAGGGUGAUCGGCCACACUGGAACUGAGACACGGUCCAGACUCCUACGGGAGGCAGCAGGC